UACGAAGGGGGCUAGCGUUGCUCGGAAUCACUGGGCGUAAAGGGUGCGUAGGCGGGUCUUUAAGUCUGGGGUGAAAUCCUGGAGCUCAACUCCAGAACUGCCUUUGAUACUGAGGAUCUUGAGUCCGGGAGAGGUGAGUGGAACUGCGAGUGUAGAGGUGAAAUUCGUGGAUAUUCGCAAGAACACCAGUGGCGAAGGCGGCUAACUGGCCCGGUACUGACGCUGAGGCACGAAAGCGUGGGGAGCAAACAGG
This 253-nucleotide ribosomal RNA is filed under the name uncultured bacterium. RNAcentral's name for it is "partial 16S ribosomal RNA". It matches the Rfam family "Bacterial small subunit ribosomal RNA", at positions 524 to 776 of the family's 1533-position model. The record is from RNAcentral.